Perognathus longimembris pacificus (Pacific pocket mouse) is the source of this 2278-nucleotide long non-coding RNA. RefSeq lists it as uncharacterized. Lineage: Eukaryota; Metazoa; Chordata; Mammalia; Rodentia; Heteromyidae. The record is from RefSeq and is a predicted model, not a curated record. The transcript has 3 exons.
AAGUCGGCUAGUCAGUCACCUCGGCGGUUAUGGGCCGGCGGGGUCUUGGCAAGUUUGAACAGCACCGCCGAUUCCCGCCGCUUGGUUAAACUAACAUCUUGGAACGUGUUGCGUUUCCGAGCGGGGACAGAGUGCUGAGGCAUUCCCUACGGUGACGGUUCGCGCCAUGGCUGGACACCCAAGGAGGGAGCGUGCGGGCGCGCGGGACCUCGGCCAGGGAAAUACUUCCGCGGUCUUGCUGAAUUAUCGAUAUUAAAAACAAUAACAAGGGUUUGGAAUUCCAGAAUCAGUUGGCCACCUGCAGUGAUCAGCCUGCACUAGUCUAGAUCCUGCAUAGAAGAGAAAAAAAUACAUCAUUCUUUCUGAAUCGGGCUUAUUUUGUUUAACAAGAUGAUCUCCAAACUGGAUGCUGGUGUCCUAGCUACUCAGGAAGCUGAGAUGUGCCAGCCCUGGCAGAAAAGUUGGUGAGACUCUUAUUCCCACUAAAAAAACAAAACAAAAAACAAACAAACCCAGAAGUGGAACUGUGGCUCAAGUGGUAAAGCACUAGCCUUGAACAAAACAGGGACAGAGGCCAGGCCUGGAAUUCAAGCCCCAGGACUGGCACAGAAAAAGAGGGGGGAAAAAAGAUGAUCUCCACUUCUCUCCAUUUUCCUACAAAAACUAUAUUGUCAGUGUUCAUAUUAGUCUCAUUCUGUAUAUAUACCACAUUUUUAAUCCACUCAUCAGUUGAUAGCACUUAGGCUGUUCCUUUUUGUGUGUUGUUGUUUUUGCUAUUAUGAGUAGUGUUGCAAUAAAUAUAGAUGUAUAGGUAUUGAAACUGGAAUUUUAGAUGCCAGGCCCAAAUUCCAGGAGUUUCACACAUCAGGUCUGGUUGAUUGCCCCUAUAGGUUAGGCACUGAGAAUCAGGGUUCAAGGCCAGCCCAAGCAGAAAAGUUCCUGAGACACUGUCUCAAAAAAUAAUCAGCAAGAAAAAACACCUGGGUGCAUGACUCCAGGUACUAGAGUAUCAGCUUAACAAACAUGAGGCUCUAAGUUCAAAACCAAAUACUGCUGAGGAGGAUAGUAAAAGUAGAGAAAGGAGAUUUACAUGGCACCUAUGGGAAGAUCACACUUCAACCCAUCUUCCACUCUUUUCAGAGUACAGACAAGAGCUAUAGGUUUAAAUAGAGAAUUAGGGUGUAGGGAGUGAGGGGCAUGCAUGAACCAGUCCCAAGUCACGGACAUAUUUUGGUAGUUGGGAGUUGCAUCUAAGGUGGUCUGACAAUUCAUUGUCUUGAGAUUGGAUUGGUCAAGUGGUGAUUUAGUGUAAUAAGAAUCAUUGAUGUGGGCCGGAUAUGUAACUUAGCAAUAGAGUGCUUGCCUAGCAUGCAUGAAGCCCUGGGUUUCAUUCCUCAGCACCACAUAAACAGAAGAGGCAGGAAGUGGUGCUGUGGGUCAAUAAGUAGAGUGCUAGCCUUGAGCAAAAAGAAGCUCAGGGACAGUGCUCAGGCCCUGAGUUCAAGCCCCAGGACUGGGAAAAAAAAAAUCAUUGAUGCCUGGGAGGUGGUCUAGCCUCUUGAGUCUCUUGGUCACUCCUUCCUGGUUUUCAUAAGGGCUAUAAGGCUAUUGUGGGAGGGUAUGGCUCAGGGCAAAAGAGGUGAGAUAAUACAUUUUUCUCCUGAUUUUAAUUGGUUCUGAGGCCCAAGUCAGGAGUCAAUACUUUACAGCAAAUGCAGUUUUUAAACACCUGUUACAGUAUUUCUAUUGUAUGAUUAUUUACAUUCCUUCAGAUAUAUGCCAUAGACAUCUAAAGGUAUCAUAGGGUAGUUCUAUUUUUAGUUUUUUGAGGAACCUCUACACAGAUUUCCAUUGUAGCUGCACUAAUUUGCAUUUCCAUACACAGUGUGUGGGGGUUGUCCAGAUGUUGGCUUUCUGAAAAGGAUCAAAUGGAAUCAAAAUGUAGUUUUGAGUUGCAUUUCCUGAUGGCUAAUGUUACUGAAUAUUUCUUCAUGUAUUUAUUGGCCAUUUGUACUACUUUUAAGAACUGCUGAUUCAAUUCAUAUGCCCAUUUAUUGCUUACAUUAUUUGUUCUUUUGUCUUUUCAUUCUUUGCAUUCUUUAUAUGUUAAUCCUUUAUCCAAUGAAUAGCUGACAAUUUUUUCUCCCAUUCUACAGGAUGCUUCAUUUAGUAGUUGUUUCAUUUGAUGUGCAAAUCUCUUUAUUUUGAUGUAAUACCGUUUAUAAAUGCUUGGUCUUAUUUACUGGGCUGUUCAGGAAGAUGUUGCCUAUGAUUAUAU